Molecule: small nuclear RNA, 74 nt
Filed under: Homo sapiens (human)
Lineage: Eukaryota; Metazoa; Chordata; Mammalia; Primates; Hominidae
Description: partial ncRNA
Source: RNAcentral
AGAUCACGAGCCCAACAGCUCCAAGUUACAGUGAGCUAUUAUUCUGCCACUGCACUCCAGCCUGGGCAACAGAG